Long non-coding RNA from Homo sapiens (human), 2230 nucleotides. NCBI's taxonomy places the organism in Eukaryota, Metazoa, Chordata, Mammalia, Primates, Hominidae. The record is from Ensembl.
CCCAAGUAGCUGGGAUUACAGGCACGCACCACCACACCUGGCUAAUUUUUGUAUUUUUACGGGGUUUCACCAUAUUGGCCAGGCUGGCCUCAAACUCCCGACCUCGUGAUCUGCCCACCUCAGCCUCCCAAAGUGCUGGGAUUACAGGCAUGAGGUUUGUUAGAUUCUUUUGUAAGUACUUGAUAUUAUCUGUUGAUGUGGAUCUCAUUGCCAGGUAGCUCUUCUAGCUGCUUCUGUUUAUUCUCCUUUUCUCUUAGCAGAGUAUUGGAAUGAGGCUGUUGAGAGCUGGGCUGAAGGAAUGUUUUGGGAAUGGAUGGUCUGGCCCAUUUGCUGUUGCCUGAGCAAGCUGCUGAGAUUGGUGAGCCAUUCACAUUGACAGAAUGCUCAUGACAAAUGAACAACCACAGAGGCAAAGCCAGGCUAAAAAUCGUCACAAAACAGAACAGAUGUUCCCACCCUCUGAAGACAGAGUUGUAGUUUCAUAGGCCUCAAGAUGGAAAGAUUCAUCCGGGGAGCAUAAACUAAGGGGACACUGAGCAGUGCCGCUUCUGGGGCUUUGAGAAACUGAGUACUACUUGUUCCCUUCUAUGGCAGAAUGCUAAGGAGAGGAGCCGUCAUUGCAAUGUGAAUAGAGGCAACUGGGAAUUGCAUUAAAGGGACUUCAAGGAUCUCCCAGCUUCAUUCUGCGGACAGCCAAUGUAGAACCCUGCCUCAGUCCCAAUCUAUGUAACAUUCAUCUCUAACCCUUUCUUGGCCUCGUGGUAGCUUUCCUCCAAUACUCCAAUUGGGGCCUUUGCCAUGAUGACAUCAGGAUAUUUUUUAAGUUCCCCUUGGAUUGCAUCGAGGCUUCUCUAUGUUGCUUGAGAGGGGCUGCCCAUCUUGCAAACUUUAAAGCACAGUGAAAACAACCUUCCACAAGCUCCCGGAAACUCCCUGAUGCCUUUCUCUGAGGUAAAGGUCUUUAGAUGGUACCUAGUUUUGUGUUAGAAGCUUUCACACCAAGCAGCCAAAAAGGCUCCAUCCUCACCUGAUUUGUGGUCCCCAGAAAGGAGCCUGCAUUAGGCCGAUAAGUCAUCAUCCAGAGAGGUGAUGACAGUCGUCUCCAUGACCAUUGAUUAAUGAAAACAGGGCUAGUUGGACCCAGAGUAGAUGGUUAUAAAUGGUGCUGUCAGAGAAAAAUAAUUAUUGUAUUAAUAAGGAAACAGUCCAAAACCAGGCUCUAAAAAAAGAGAACUGGCAACUUAGCAUCUCCAUGGAUUUCUGAGGCAGACUUGACGGAAUAGUGGGGAGGUUGGGGGAAGGUAUUCUAGCUCCCCCACCACCCGCCUCUCCAGAAGGCAGCCCCUCCUUGCCUGUGCACGUGCCCACGUCCACGCGUGGAUGCGCGGUGGGUGCGCUCGACCUGACCCAGCUCUCCCGGGAUGCGGCAGAUGAGCCGGGGUUGCGUGGAGGCUUUCGGUACCACUUCCAGCAGGAACGGAGAAAAACGAGCAUAUCUUAUUGUACCUGAAACACUCUAUGAUAUGUACUAAAUAUUAUGACUACUCGGGGCCUUGCAAUAAUUGAUUCACCCACACAGCCAUUUAGUCUGCGAGCUGUUCGUUUUACAAAUUCUACAAUCUUUUAGAAAUUCUUUCAGUGCGGAAGAUUGCUGCCUGGCCUCAGAUUCAUUAUGGUGAUUGAAUCCUCUUCAAUAGAGAACGGUUUAAAGAGAGCACAGGCCCCGUGCGUCUCACUCAGAGUUAAGGCGCAUAGGUUAAAAGCUUGUCUGGUGGCAUAAUUCACUGCCGCUAUGCCAAACAAUCACGUCUUAUUGUGACCUUCAUAAGAUACAAAAAGGCAACAGGAUAGAGCUUGGCUUUUUUUUAAACCCACUCACAGAUUUAGCUUCCCAACAUCUGAAGCUUGGAGAAUUCCUAAUUAAAUAACCAAUUAAUAAUGUAGAAUAGAAAAAGCUAUUUUUUUUCUGAAAUGCAAAAUCAUAAUUAAUCAGAGUACAAAAAGCUGCCUGUCUUUAUAUCAGAAAAAUAUAGACUAGGUAUUUAAAUAUUCCACCACACCUGAACCCUGGCCAUCCGUCAUUGCUAUGACUUAAAACAUCUCAGACUAAAUUAGGUUUUGUUUGUAUAGAGCAGUGAAAGUCAGAUGGCUUGAAUGACAAAAUUAGAACAUGCUCAAAUCACUGAGACAAAACCGCAUAAAGAGAAAGAUGUGCAGGAAAAGGGCUGCC